RNAcentral lists this transfer RNA (72 nucleotides) under Perkinsus olseni. RNAcentral describes it as "tRNA-Thr". It matches the Rfam family "tRNA". From Rfam's summary of the family: Transfer RNA (tRNA) molecules are approximately 80 nucleotides in length. Their secondary structure includes four short double-helical elements and three loops (D, anti-codon, and T loops). Further hydrogen bonds mediate the characteristic L-shaped molecular structure. tRNAs have two regions of fundamental functional importance: the anti-codon, which is responsible for specific mRNA codon recognition, and the 3' end, to which the tRNAs corresponding amino acid is attached (by aminoacyl-tRNA synthetases). tRNAs cope with the degeneracy of the genetic code in two manners: having more than one tRNA (with a specific anti-codon) for a particular amino acid; and 'wobble' base-pairing, i.e. permitting non-standard base-pairing at the 3rd anti-codon position. Lineage: Eukaryota; Perkinsozoa; Perkinsida; Perkinsidae. The record is from RNAcentral.
GCCGGUUUAGCUUAGUGGUAGAGCGUUAGUCUUGUAAACUGAUGGUCGGCGGAUCAAUCCCGCCAUCCGCCC